CCUACGGGCGGCAGCAGUGGGGGAUAUUGCACAAUGGGGGAAACCCUGAUGCAGCGAAGCCGCGUGAGUGAAGAAGUAUCUCGGUAUGUUAAGCUUUAUCAGCAGGGAAGAAAAAAGACGGACCCUGACUCAGAAGCCCCGGCUAACUACGAGCCAGCCGCCGAGGUACGACGUAGGGAGCAAGCGUUGUCCGGAUUUACUGGGGGUAAAGGGUGCGUAGGCGGCCUUGCAAGUCGGAAGUGAAAUCCAUGGGCUUAACCCGCGAACUGCUGUUGAAACUGGAGGGCUUGAGUGAAGUAGAGGCAGGCGGAAUGCCCGGUGUAGCGGUGAAAUGCGUAGAUAUCGGGAGGAACACCAGUGGCGAAGGCGGCCUGCUGGGCUUUAACUGACGCUGAAGCACGAAAGCGUGGGUAGCGAACAGGAUUAGAUACCCUGGUAGUC
Molecule: ribosomal RNA, 441 nt
Filed under: uncultured bacterium
Lineage: Bacteria
Description: partial 16S ribosomal RNA
Rfam family: Bacterial small subunit ribosomal RNA
Source: RNAcentral